GAUGAACGCUGGCGGCGUGCCUAAUACAUGCAAGUCGAGCGAACGGACGAGAAGCUUGCUUUUCUGUUGUUAGCGGCGGACGGGUGAGUAACACGUGGAUACCCUCCCUAUAAGACUGGUAUCACUUCGGGAAACCGGCGCUAAUACCGGAUAAUAUUUUGAACCGCAUGGUUCAAAAGUGAAAGACGGUCUUGCUGUCACUUAUAGAUGGAUCCGCGCUGCAUUAGCUAGUUGGUAAGGUAACGGCUUACCAAGGCAACGAUGCAUAGCCGACCUGAGAGGGUGAUAGGCCACACGAGAACUGAGACAGCGUCAAGACUCCUAAGGGAGGCAGCAGUAGGGAAUCGUCCGCAAUGGGCGAAAGCCUGACGGAGCAACGCCGCGUGAGUGAUGAAGGUCUUCGGAUCGUAAAACUCUGUUAUUAGGGAAGAACAGAUGUGUAAGUAACUGUGCACAUAGUGACGGUACCUAAUAAGAAAGCCACGGCUAACUACGUG
This 497-nucleotide ribosomal RNA is filed under the name uncultured bacterium. RNAcentral describes it as "partial 16S ribosomal RNA". It matches the Rfam family "Bacterial small subunit ribosomal RNA", at positions 28 to 507 of the family's 1533-position model. The record is from RNAcentral.